This 137-nucleotide microRNA precursor is filed under the name Oryza sativa (Asian cultivated rice). RNAcentral describes it as "miR11343 stem-loop (osa-MIR11343)". The record is from miRBase by way of RNAcentral. Lineage: Eukaryota; Viridiplantae; Streptophyta; Magnoliopsida; Poales; Poaceae.
UCUCCGUUUCAUACUAUAGACUUUCUAGCGUUGCCCACAUUCAUAUAUGUGUUAAUGAAUCUAGAUAUAUAUGUGUGCCUAGAUGAAUCUAUAUGAAUGUGGGCAAUGUUAAAAAGUCUUAUAAUCUGAAAUAGAGG